Tachyglossus aculeatus (Australian echidna) is the source of this 138-nucleotide small nucleolar RNA. The record is from RefSeq and is a predicted model, not a curated record. Lineage: Eukaryota; Metazoa; Chordata; Mammalia; Monotremata; Tachyglossidae.
GUCUUCUCAGGAUGGUACCUGGAGAGUUUCCAGUACUCUACCAGUCUCGACUACGGGAGGGAGAGUCGAGCAGAGGCCUACCCAUUCCAUUACUAGCUUGGGAAGUGGCGAGCAAGUAGAAGGAAAUCUGCUACAAGU